AAACCAGCACCUCAAGUGGUCAGGAGGAUUAUCGGGCCUAAAGCAUCCGUAGCCUGUUCUGUAAGUUUUCGGUUAAAUCCAUUAGCUCAACUAAUGGGCCGCCGAAAAUACUGUAGAACUAGGGAGUGGGAGAGGUAGACGGUAUUCGGUAGGAAGGGGUAAAAUCCUUUGAUCUAUUGAGGACCACCUGUGGCGAAGGCGGUCUACCAGAACACGUUCGACGGUGAGGGAUGAAAGCUGGGGGAGCAAACCGGAUUAGAAACCCUGGUAGUCC
RNAcentral lists this ribosomal RNA (274 nucleotides) under uncultured bacterium. RNAcentral describes it as "partial 16S ribosomal RNA". It matches the Rfam family "Archaeal small subunit ribosomal RNA", at positions 473 to 747 of the family's 1478-position model. The record is from RNAcentral.